Carlito syrichta (Philippine tarsier) is the source of this 1278-nucleotide long non-coding RNA. RefSeq lists it as uncharacterized. The record is from RefSeq and is a predicted model, not a curated record. The transcript has 2 exons. NCBI's taxonomy places the organism in Eukaryota, Metazoa, Chordata, Mammalia, Primates, Tarsiidae.
CGUUUCACCGUGUCACCCGCUCCCGCGUCCCGCUUCUCCAUCACGCACGUGUCCGACCCGGAUGCCGAGUCUGCGGGAGGCCCUGCAGCGAGUGCCGCGGGCGGGAGUAAAGAGGCUUGAGGCAGCUUCACCCCUCGGAGGCUGGCAUCACUGGAGACCUGCCGAGCAGCAGUGAGGACGGUGACCGGGAAUGAGUGGGGACCGCCUGCAGUCCUCGUGGCUGUCGGCAGUAGAUUCCAGUGUCCCCGUGCUCCACGCAGUGUCCUGGAGAAGCAGGCAGGAGAGGCCCCUGGAGGGUAGAUUGGCCAUGAACGCUGGCCCCAUGCUGCAGAAUUUAUCUUGGACACUUGAGUUUGCUGCUAGAUGCCUGGAGCCCCUGUGGGCCCGUGGGCAUCCAUACACACAUACACACACAGAAGAGGAGCCUCACCUCUGGGCCUGGGUGGCCCCCAACCCUGCAGCUGCCCUUUUGCCAUGAGUGCUGCUGUUGGACUGCUUGGUCUCUGAGGCUGGGGACCUGCUCUCAGCCCUGGGGUCCGCAUACCCAUCUGCUGGCUCCUUCGGUGCGCUCACAGGAUACUGUGCCCAGAGUCUGGGCAAGGCCCGGGCCUCCUGAGACAGCAACAGGCUUGUGAGCCUCCCUCCCCCCCCGCCCCAACCCCCUUUCUGGGUUCGCUCAGGGCAAGGAGUGGUCCCUGAGCUCACAUCCCUGCCCUUACCACAGUCUGGCGGCUUCCCCUUCACUGACUCAGCCCAACCCAUAAGCCCCCCUCCCCACAGAUAAUGGCUGCUCUCCCCUGGGUCUUGCUGUGGGUGGGUGGGCCAUGGUGGGCAGCCAGAAAGAUGAGGGGCUUGCGGGCCACACUCCUGCCGCCUUGGGCCCUGUUCUAGAGGUGCCCUCGGCAGGGCGGUGCAGGCAGCUCUCCUGCAGGGCACUGCCUGGCCCAGGGCCCCAGCUGCCAAAGGAAAGUGAGGCUGCACCCUGCAGUUUUGGGGGCUCCUGCCUGCAGAGGGAAUGACAGGGAAGGGGUGGAACUGGGGGCAGGGAAGCACAGGGAAUAUUUUUGUAACUGCUGUUGCUGGAGCGAAUGGAAGUGGGAUGAUUUUAAGUUAUUGUUGCCAAAGAGAUGUAAAGUUUAUUGUUGCUUUGGGUGGGGGGACUUGUUUUGGGUUUGUGUGGUUUUUUUUUAAAUUAGUUUGAGGCUUAGGAUGCUGGUGCAAUGAUUUUCUUGUUCCUUUUUUGUUUGUUUUUUUAAGAGAAAUCAAGCUAAGAAAGCC